Molecule: long non-coding RNA, 760 nt
Organism: Megalopta genalis
Lineage: Eukaryota; Metazoa; Arthropoda; Insecta; Hymenoptera; Halictidae
Source: RefSeq, a predicted model, not a curated record
UUAUUAAUGCGCGCGCAGCAUCGCCUGUUCGCCUGAACUCGUUGGCUCCGAAGGCCUGUCAGGAACCGGAUAUUUUGUAAACAACCGAGGCAAAGGGUUAAUUAAUUUUGCCUACUUUUUUCUACUUCCUGCGUUUCUCUUCCGUUCGGGUUAUCAAGUACACUUGUCAGCGCAGCUGUCACUGACAACUUUAGACUCUGAACCGAUCAUCCAUCAACUAACCGUAAUUUAUCCAUCGAAAUCAACGGUCACGUGACCUCUGUGAUAUGGGUGUUCGCUUUACGGAUUUCUUCCGGUUUACCAAAUGGCAAUUACUUAACUUUCCGUGACGCAACUAUAACAAGGCGAUUUAAAUGUUGCGGUACUCGAUGUGCCUGGAAAUAUCUGACAAUAGCCGAUCGAUGAGGCUUUGUGCCUCAAAAAGAAAAAUUGCAACGAUUGGAACGCUCGCGGUCUGGGAGAAUUUUCGCUCGCGGCCAUAGCUCGCGGACACCUCAUCGACGAAACGAAGAAUGAUGAUACGAAAGCGUUGUUUCACGUUUAGCAAUCUGGGAUUUACGCACUCCGGCAGAUGCGCAACAUUUCGCAGAAUAGUCCGAACGAUCUCUGCGAACCAUCCUCCCGCCGAGUUUUCAGCUGUUCAACCCCCAAUCGCACGUGCUUCGACGUGUUCGACUCGAGGCGGAGAUUCCUAGUGAUCGUCUGUUAACAUCUUAGCUGUAUUCGAGGAUAUAUUAUAAUAUAUAGAAGAUAUAUUAUA